GACGAACGCUGGCGGCGUGCUUAACACAUGCAAGUCGAACGGAAAGGCCCUGCUUGCAGGGUACUCGAGUGGCGAACGGGUGAGUAACACGUGGGUGAUCUGCCCUGCACUUAGGGAUAAGCCUGGGAAACUGGGUCUAUUACCGGAUAGGAGACAUUUUUAGUGUGAUGGUUGGAAAGUUUUUUCGGUGUUGGAUGAGCUCGCGGGCUAUCAGCUUGUUGGUGGGGUAAUGGCCUACCAAGGCGGCGGCGGGUAGCCGGCCUGAGAGGGUGGGCGGCCACACUGGGACUUAGAGACGGCCCAGACUCCGACGGUAGGCAGCAGUGGGGAAGAUUGCACAAUGGGCGCAAGCCGGAUGCAGCGGCGCCGCGGGUGGUAUGACGGCCUUCGGGUUGUAAACUCCUUUCACUAGGGACUAAGCUUUUUGUGACGGUACCUAGACAAGAAGCACCGGCUAACUACGUG
RNAcentral lists this ribosomal RNA (465 nucleotides) under uncultured bacterium. RNAcentral describes it as "partial 16S ribosomal RNA". It matches the Rfam family "Bacterial small subunit ribosomal RNA", at positions 28 to 507 of the family's 1533-position model. The record is from RNAcentral.